UACGUAGGGUGCAAGCGUUAAUCGGAAUUAUUGGGCGUAAAGAGCUCGUAGGCGGUUUGUCGCGUCUGCCGUGAAAGUCCGGGGCUCAACUCCGGAUCUGCGGUGGGUACGGGCAGACUAGAGUGAUGUAGGGGAGACUGGAAUUCCUGGUGUAGCGGUGAAAUGCGCAGAUAUCAGGAGGAACACCGAUGGCGAAGGCAGGUCUCUGGGCAUUAACUGACGCUGAGGCGCGAAGGCUAGGGGAGCGAACGGG
Molecule: ribosomal RNA, 253 nt
Filed under: uncultured bacterium
Lineage: Bacteria
Description: partial 16S ribosomal RNA
Rfam family: Bacterial small subunit ribosomal RNA
Source: RNAcentral